AUUGAACGCUGGCGGAAUGCUUUACACAUGCAAGUCGAGCGGCAGCGCGGGGGCAACCCUGGCGGCGAGCGGCGAACGGGUGAGUAACAUAUCGGAACGUACCCAGUCGUGGGGGAUAACUAUCCGAAAGGAUAGCUAAUACCGCAUACGUCCUGAGGGAGAAAGCGGGGGAUCGCAAGACCUCGCGCGAUUGGAGCGGCCGAUAUCGGAUUAGCUAGUUGGUGGGGUAAAGGCCUACCAAGCCUACGAUCUGUAGCUGGUCUGAGAGGACGACCAGCCACACUGGGACUGAGACACGGCCCAGACUCCUACGGGAGGCAGCAGUGGGGAAUUUUGGACAAUGGGCGAAAGCCUGAUCCAGCCAUGCCGCGUGCGGGAAGAAGGCCU
This 387-nucleotide ribosomal RNA is filed under the name uncultured bacterium. RNAcentral's name for it is "bacterial SSU rRNA". It matches the Rfam family "Bacterial small subunit ribosomal RNA", at positions 29 to 417 of the family's 1533-position model. The record is from RNAcentral.